Molecule: unclassified non-coding RNA, 377 nt
Filed under: plant metagenome
Description: partial contains 5.8S ribosomal RNA, internal transcribed spacer 2, and large subunit ribosomal RNA
Rfam family: 5.8S ribosomal RNA (bases 1-104)
Source: RNAcentral
AAAUGCGAUAAGUAAUGUGAAUUGCAGAAUUCAGUGAAUCAUCGAAUCUUUGAACGCACCUUGCGCUCCUUGGUAUUCCUUGGAGCAUGCCUGUUUGAGUAUCAUGAAAUCUUCAAAGUAAAUCUUUUGUUAACUCAAUUGGUUUCUACUUUGGUAUUGGAGGUCUUUGCAGCUUCACACCUGCUCCUCUUUGUUCAUUAGCUGGAUCUCAGUGUUAUGCUUGGUUCCACUCGGCGUGAUAAGUUAUCUAUCGCUGAGGACACUGUAAAAGGUGGCCAAGGUAAAUGCAGAUGAACCGCUUCUAAUAGUCCAUUGACUUGGACAAUACUUUUAUGAUCUGAUCUCAAAUCAGGUAGAACUACCCGCUGAACUUAAGC